AGGCAGGACCGCCCCGUACUACCCCCGUUUUUGCCAGCACUGGAACGUGGCAAGAUGGAAGAUCGCACGUAUCGCGAGAAAAUUCCAUGUCUUUUUUUCUAUAAAAAAUAUAAAGGGUCCUGUGCCACCAUACUCAGGAGGGAGGAUAGCUUUCGGAAAACAACCACAGAGACUCCGGGAAUGGGCGAAUCAUGGCAAAGACCGGACGGAAAAAAAUGGGCUCAUUUAUCAAAUGAAUGCCACGAACUUUCAAAGGAAAGGAGUCCUAUGACAGUGAAGCAGAUGUUUUUAUUACAUUCACAU
Long non-coding RNA from Triplophysa dalaica, 303 nucleotides. RefSeq lists it as uncharacterized. The transcript is spliced from 3 exons. The record is from RefSeq and is a predicted model, not a curated record. Lineage: Eukaryota; Metazoa; Chordata; Actinopteri; Cypriniformes; Nemacheilidae.